GGCGAGCGAACGGGGAGGAGCCCAGAGCCUGAAUCAGUGUGUGUGUUAGUGGAAGCGUCUGGAAAGGCGUGCGAUACAGGGUGACAGCCCCGUACACAAAAAUGCACAUGCUGUGAGCUCGAUGAGUAGGGCGGGACACGUGGUAUCCUGUCUGAAUAUGGGGGGACCAUCCUCCAAGGCUAAAUACUCCUGACUGACCGAUAGUGAACCAGUACCGUGAGGGAAAGGCGAAAAGAACCCCGGCGAGGGGAGUGAAAAAGAACCUGAAACCGUGUACGUACAAGCAGUGGGAGCCUCUUAAUGGGGUGACUGCGUACCUUUUGUAUAAUGGGUCAGCGACUUAUAUUCUGUAGCAAGGUUAACCGAAUAGGGGAGCCGAAGGGAAACCGAGUCUUAACUGGGCGUUAAGUUGCAGGGUAUAGACCCGAAACCCGGUGAUCUAGCCAUGGGCAGGUUGAAGGUUGGGUAACACUAACUGGAGGACCGAACCGACUAAUGUUGAAAAAUUAGCGGAUGACUUGUGGCUGGGGGUGAAAGGCCAAUCAAACCGGGAGAUAGCUGGUUCUCCCCGAAAGCUAUUUAGGUAGCGCCUCGUGAAUUCAUCUCCGGGGGUAGAGCACUGUUUCGGCAAGGGGGUCAUCCCGACUUACCAACCCGAUGCAAACUGCGAAUACCGGAGAAUGUUAUCACGGGAGACACACGGCGGGUGCUAACGUCCGUCGUGAAGAGGGAAACAACCCAGACCGCCAGCUAAGGUCCCAAAGUCAUGGUUAAGUGGGAAACGAUGUGGGAAGGCCCAGACAGCCAGGAUGUUGGCUUAGAAGCAGCCAUCAUUUAAAGAAAGCGUAAUAGCUCACUGGUCGAGUCGGCCUGCGCGGAAGAUGUAACGGGGCUAAACCAUGCACCGAAGCUGCGGCAGCGACACUAUGUGUUGUUGGGUAGGGGAGCGUUCUGUAAGCCUGUGAAGGUGUGCUGUGAGGCAUGCUGGAGGUAUCAGAAGUGCGAAUGCUGACAUAAGUAACGAUAAAGCGGGUGAAAAGCCCGCUCGCCGGAAGACCAAGGGUUCCUGUCCAACGUUAAUCGGGGCAGGGUGAGUCGACCCCUAAGGCGAGGCCGAAAGGCGUAGUCGAUGGGAAACAGGUUAAUAUUCCUGUACUUGGUGUUACUGCGAAGGGGGGACGGAGAAGGCUAUGUUGGCCGGGCGACGGUUGUCCCGGUUUAAGCGUGUAGGCUGGUUUUCCAGGCAAAUCCGGAAAACCAAGGCUGAGGCGUGAUGACGAGGCACUACGGUGCUGAAGUGACAAAUGCCCUGCUUCCAGGAAAAGCCUCUAAGCAUCAGGUAACAU
This 1346-nucleotide ribosomal RNA is filed under the name Escherichia coli. RNAcentral describes it as "partial 23S ribosomal RNA". It matches the Rfam family "Bacterial large subunit ribosomal RNA", at positions 248 to 1637 of the family's 2925-position model. The record is from RNAcentral. Lineage: Bacteria; Pseudomonadati; Pseudomonadota; Gammaproteobacteria; Enterobacterales; Enterobacteriaceae.